RNAcentral lists this long non-coding RNA (377 nucleotides) under Elaeis guineensis (African oil palm). RNAcentral's name for it is "long non-coding RNA (EGUI_LNC081085)". Lineage: Eukaryota; Viridiplantae; Streptophyta; Magnoliopsida; Arecales; Arecaceae. The record is from RNAcentral.
UAUCAGUUGAUGAUGAUCCAGUUACUGGAGUUGAUUCCACGCUUAUCAUUCCGGAGUGGCAGGUUUUGUGCUUGCGAUUGCUAGGGUUUGAGUGUUUGGAUGAUCGUUAUCGACAUUUUCAUAUUGCGGAUGAUGCAUCAGAGGAGAUGGUGCAGCAGUAUGUUAUGGGUCAGGUGCUGCGGUUGUUAGGUAGUGUCCUGUUACUCGAUACUUUAUCAAAUAAGAUGAAGUUGAUGUUUUUAUCAUUAUUAGAUGAUUUAGACUUCGCUCGUCGAUUCAGUUGGGGCAGUGCAGUACUAGCUUGCCUAUACAGAGCUAUGUGUCAGGAUUCUUAUGCUGAUUAGAGUGAGAUUGAUGGUUAUCUUGUAUUAUUACAG